UACGGGAGGCAGCAGUGGGGAAUAUUGCACAAUAGGCGAAAGCCUGAUGCAGCUAUGCCGCGUGUAUGAAGAAGGCCUUAGGGUUGUAAAGUACUUUCAUCGGGGAGGAAAAACAAAACUAAUAAUUUUAUUUCUUGACGUUACCCGAAAAAGAAGCACCGGCUAACUCCGUGCCAGCAGCCGCGGUAAUACGGAGGGUGCUAGCGUUAAUCAGAAUUACUGGGCGUAAAGAGCACGUAGGUGGUUUUUUUAAGUCAGAUGUGAAAUCCCUGGGCUUAACCUAGGAACUGCAUUUUGAAACUGAAAUACUAGAGUAUCGUAGAGGGAGGUAGAAUUCUAGGUGUAGCGGUGAAAUGCGUAGAUAUCUGGAGGAAUACCUGUGGCGAAAGCGGCCUCCUAAACGAAUACUGACACUGAGGUGCGAAAGCGUGGGGAGCAAACAGGGAUUAGAUACC
Molecule: ribosomal RNA, 455 nt
Filed under: uncultured bacterium
Lineage: Bacteria
Description: bacterial SSU rRNA
Rfam family: Bacterial small subunit ribosomal RNA
Source: RNAcentral